This is a long non-coding RNA of Limanda limanda (common dab), 1738 nucleotides long. RefSeq lists it as uncharacterized. The transcript has 2 exons. The record is from RefSeq and is a predicted model, not a curated record. Lineage: Eukaryota; Metazoa; Chordata; Actinopteri; Pleuronectiformes; Pleuronectidae.
AGGCCUCAGCAGUGAAGGAGCUGCUUGAUCUACAGCAGAGUCCAACCUGUCGACUGGAGACUCUGAGGUGGAGGGGGAGAUCUAAGUGGAGCUGAGUGUGAAGAGGACAGUGUGUGUGGACGGAGGCUGAGCUGUGUCCUGAGGAUCCAGAGGCUGAAGCAGCAGCAGCUUGUGUGUAGUCUCCAAUCUACACAACCCCUAAUCUGCAUGUGUUUGUGAGAUGAAGCCGGAGCACCUGGAGAAAACACGUGGAGAACAUGCAGACUCCACACAGGAAGACCCAUCUGAACCGGAUUCAAACCAGCAACCUUCCUGCUCCGAUUGUGUUUAUUCACAUGAAGAAUGUGUUUAUUGAAAUGACACAAGCAGAAUAUAUAAACACUCUUUAAAGAGUCAUAUAUAGUGUAAUUAAAUUUGUCUUUAUUAUUGUCCACCUUUGUCCCUCAGUAUGUCUCCAUGUGUGUAGAACCACAUCCUGUGUAGAUGUUUGUUUAUGAUCUUAAAGUUCCAAAGAAGGAAGGCUGCCGUGUCUCCAGCUCUCCCACAGCUCUGCUCUUUUUUCUAUCUUGUUGUUAUUGAUUCUUCUUUAUUUUGCAUUGUGCACUCUGACAAAGCGAGCCCUAUCAUCAUAUGUGAUGGAGAACAACUUCUGCUCAUCGGGUUGACAGUGAAAAACACUUUUUAUAAUAAUAAAUGUGUAGGCCUACUUUGAAAUAAAUGAAACACAGAACUAUGCUUUUUUUGCUCUUCUCCAGCUUGAUACUUUUCAGCAGAUGCUGUGAGCUUGCUCUGGAAAUGUCUUUAAACAUUACAUGUUUUGUUGUUUCUCAAUUCCUCGUCACAUGAAGCAUAUACAGGUAAACCUGCAUCGUUGGCAGUGAAAGCAAAUGAAUCUGUCCACGCAGAAUUAAACUCUCUAUUUUCCUCCCAGACUUUUCUCUUUUGGGAUGUAUCCAUGGUUAGCUUACCGAGGCCGCUCUCGUCUGUUUCCCUGUCGGUUUGAGAUGCUGUAAGUUUUAUUUUGAACUACGUUAACGUCACUAUUCUUUUGAACUUUGGGUUAUAAUUCACAAAACCCUUUAUAAACUUUUCUUUCUGAAAUAAAGUUGAACUCUUUCCGCCAGACGAGGUGAGCUCAUGAAUGAUGGACGUGUUGGGUUGAGGAGGCGUCGCGAUGGAUCGUAGCAUCACACGACUCAGACUGUUAAUAACACACCAACCAUCUCCUUAAAUAUUAUAUAUACAUAUAUAUAAAUAAAUUAAGCUAAAAUGCAGUGCAAGUGCAGCAGUGUUCAUGAAGUCAAAUAUAUUAUAACCAAACUGAUCAGAAACACUUGAACAAACAUCAGUGAGAUAAGAACUGAAAUGACAGAAACAUCUUUGACAAACAUAUUUAACGUCUUUGAUUAUUUUUUUAUCUCCAUGUCCCAUCUGCUCACAUGGAGGAGGAGGUUUAUGACUUAUACUGCAGCCAGACACCAGGGGGCAGUGUCAGUCUGGUUCAGCUCAUUUGUUCAUGGUGUGUUGAUCGACUGUUCUUAUUGGAUGUUCCUUAGUGGUUAUUUUUUGUAUGAAUCUACUUCCUGUGUUGAGCGCGAGCUGCUGUUUAAAGACGUGUUUGACCUUUGACCUGAGCUGACCCGACAGUUCACUGUGACGAAGAGGAUGAAGAUGUGUAGUAUGUGUUGAACGUUGUCGUCCACUCAGAGGAUCAAUAAAGAUUAUAACUGACGAUCAA